UAGGGAAUCUUCCGCAAUGGGCGAAAGCCUGAUGGAGCAACGCCGCGUGUGUGAUGAAGGCUUUAGGGUCGUAAAGCACUGUUGUAUGGGAAGAAAUGCUAGAAUAGGGAAUGAUUCUAGUUCGACGGUACCAUACCAGAAAGGGACGGCUAAAUACGUGCCAGCAGCCGCGGUAAUACGUAUGUCCCGAGCGUUAUCCGGAUUUAUUGGGCGUAAAGCGAGCGCAGACGGUUGAUUAAGUCUGAUGUGAAAGCCCGGAGCUCAACUCCGGAAUGGCAUUGGAAACUGGUUAACUUGAGUGUUGUAGAGGUAAGUGGAACUCCAUGUGUAGCGGUGGAAUGCGUAGAUAUAUGGAAGAACACCAGUGGCGAAGGCGGCUUACUGGACAACAACUGACGUUGAGGCUCGAAAGUGUGGGUAGCAAACAGGAUUAGAUACCCUGGUAGUCCACACCGUANCGAUGAAUACUAGGUGUUAGGAGGUUUCCGCCUCUUAGUGCCGAAGCUAACGCAUUAAGUAUUCCGCCUGGGGAGUACGACCGCAAGGNUG
This 549-nucleotide ribosomal RNA is filed under the name uncultured bacterium. RNAcentral's name for it is "bacterial SSU rRNA". It matches the Rfam family "Bacterial small subunit ribosomal RNA", at positions 355 to 896 of the family's 1533-position model. The record is from RNAcentral.